AGCAGYCGCGGUAAUWCGUAGGUGGCAGCGUUGUCCGGAAUWWUUGGCGUAAAGGGCUCGCAGGCGGUUUCUUAAGUCUGAUGUGAAAGCCCCCGGCUCAACCGGGGAGGGUCAUUGGRAAMUGGGAAACUUGAGUGCAGAAGAGGAGAGUGGAAUUCCACGUGUAGCGGUGAAAUGCGUAGAGAUGUGGAGGAACACCAGUGGCGAAGGCGACUCUCUGGUCUGUAACUGACGCUGAGGAGCGAAAGCGUGGGGAGCGAACAGGAUUAGAUACCCUGGUAGUCCACGCCGUAAACGAUGAGUGCUAAGUGUUWGGGGGUUUYCGCCCCUUAGUGCUGCAGCUAACGCAUUAAGCACUCCGCCUGGGGAGUACGGUCGCAAGACUGAAACUCAAAGGAAUUGACGGGGGCCCGCACMAGCGGUGGAGCAUGUGGUUUAAUUYGAAGCAACGCGAAGAACCUUACCAGGUCUUGACAUCCUYUGACAACCCUAGAGAUAGGGCUUUCCCUUYGGGGACAGAGUGACAGGUGGUGCAUGGUUGUCGUCAGCUCGUGUCGUGAGAUGUUGGGUUAAGUCCCGCAACGAGCGCAACCCUUGAUYUUWGUUGCCAGCAUUCAGUUGGGCACUYUAAGGUGACUGCCGGUGRCAAACCGGAGGAAGGUGGGGAUGAMGUCAAAUCAUCAUGCCCCUUAUGACCUGGGCUACACACGUGSUACAAUGGACAGAACAAAGGGSUGCAAGACCGCAAGGUUUAGCCAAUCCCAUAAAUYUGUUYUCAGUUCGGAUCGCMGUYUGCAACUCGACUGCGWGAAGCWGGKAAUUKUUUUAGUUUAUCUGCCCGSAUCUYAGWCASSAGGAGA
Molecule: ribosomal RNA, 860 nt
Filed under: Bacillus safensis
Lineage: Bacteria; Bacillati; Bacillota; Bacilli; Caryophanales; Bacillaceae
Description: partial 16S ribosomal RNA
Rfam family: Bacterial small subunit ribosomal RNA
Source: RNAcentral